RNAcentral lists this unclassified non-coding RNA (188 nucleotides) under uncultured Glomus. RNAcentral describes it as "sequence contains ITS2". The record is from RNAcentral. Lineage: Eukaryota; Fungi; Glomeromycota; Glomeromycetes; Glomerales; Glomeraceae.
UCAAAUAAAAAUCGGGGUUAUUGCUGCCUUCGGUGGUGACGCUUCGGAACUGGGUCGUCUUUUCUUUCGGUUAAGUGGCCUAAAAUUUCGGAUGAUUUUUCGAACGUAUUUAAAUUUUUUUACGUACGUUUGUAUAUCGAAUAUUAGAUGUGGUCAUUCUCAUGAUUCGCGUCUAUAAUUAUUUCAUC